GCGGAUGUGGUGGAAUUGGUAGACGCGCCGGAUUCAAAAUCCGGUUCCUUCGGGAGUGAGAGUUCGAGUCUCUCCAUCCGCACCA
RNAcentral lists this transfer RNA (85 nucleotides) under Rickettsiales bacterium. RNAcentral describes it as "tRNA-Leu". It matches the Rfam family "tRNA". Rfam says of the family: Transfer RNA (tRNA) molecules are approximately 80 nucleotides in length. The record is from RNAcentral. Lineage: Bacteria; Pseudomonadati; Pseudomonadota; Alphaproteobacteria; Rickettsiales.